RNAcentral lists this ribosomal RNA (321 nucleotides) under Triticum aestivum (bread wheat). RNAcentral describes it as "partial small subunit ribosomal RNA". The record is from RNAcentral. Lineage: Eukaryota; Viridiplantae; Streptophyta; Magnoliopsida; Poales; Poaceae.
AUGUGUGUACCCAAGAACCAAGGAGGAAUGGGUUUUCAGGAUAUUCAUUGUUUCAAUUUGGCCAUGCUUGCUAAACAGGCUUGGCGUCUUCUCGAGAAUCUGGAUUCUCUAUGUGCUACUAUUUUAAAAGUCAAAUACUAUCCUGACGGUGAUUUGUUGAACACUGACCUGAAGAGGGAUUUUUUCGGUUCGGUCUGCUUACUUUGUGGAACGGGACCACCAAUAUGGGAACAAGUUACGACAUACCAAUGGGAUGGGACGUACCACGGCCAAUCCAAUUUGGGCGAGGAUUUGGAAACUUGCUUGUCCAGCAAAGGUUAA